This is a long non-coding RNA of Bufo bufo (common toad), 239 nucleotides long. RefSeq lists it as uncharacterized. The record is from RefSeq and is a predicted model, not a curated record. NCBI's taxonomy places the organism in Eukaryota, Metazoa, Chordata, Amphibia, Anura, Bufonidae. The transcript has 3 exons.
AAACAAAUACUACCCAUACAUUAAAACUUAAAGUCACCCACUAAUCUUACCGCACGGAUCAACCCAUACAGAAAAUAGAAUACAGGGUACAACAAUAUUUUGGAGUGAAUAUUCUGAUGUUGGUAGACAGUUAGUAUCCGUUGUUCCAUAGGGCAUAUUCUAUUCUGCAUCAUAACACAAAGAAAGCCUCCAAAAGGACCACACCAUCGCAGCAAUCAAGUAUACUUGCAGAAACUCCU